UAACACGGAGGAUGCAAGCGUUAUCCGGAUUUAUUAGGUUUAAAGGGUGCGUAGGCUGAAAAUUAAGUCAGUGGUGAAAUCUUGUAGCUUAACUACAAAACUGCCAUUGAUACUGGUUUUCUUGAGUAUAGUUGAGGUAGGCGGAAUGUGUAGUGUAGCGGUGAAAUGCAUAGAUAUUACACAGAACACCAAUUGCGAAGGCAGCUUACUAAACUAUAACUGACGCUGAUGCACGAAAGCGUGGGUAGCGAACAGGAUUAGAUACCCUGGUAGUCCACGCCGUAAACGAUGAUUACUCGUUGCAUGCAAUACACCGUAUGUGACUUAGCGAAAGCAUUAAGUAAUCCACCUGGGGAGUACGUUCGCAAGAAUG
Molecule: ribosomal RNA, 373 nt
Filed under: uncultured Bacteroidota bacterium
Lineage: Bacteria; Pseudomonadati; Bacteroidota
Description: bacterial SSU rRNA
Rfam family: Bacterial small subunit ribosomal RNA
Source: RNAcentral